AGUAGUGUAAUGGUUUUAAGCACGCCAGUCUGUGGAACUGGUAGAGGGAGUUCGAAUCUCCUCUUUAGCCCCA
RNAcentral lists this transfer RNA (73 nucleotides) under Caudoviricetes sp. RNAcentral describes it as "tRNA-His". It matches the Rfam family "tRNA". Rfam says of the family: Transfer RNA (tRNA) molecules are approximately 80 nucleotides in length. Their secondary structure includes four short double-helical elements and three loops (D, anti-codon, and T loops). Lineage: Duplodnaviria; Heunggongvirae; Uroviricota; Caudoviricetes. The record is from RNAcentral.